GCCGGUAUAGUUUAAGGGUAGAAACCUGCCACUCAUAACGGCAGUAAGAUGGGUUCGAGUCCCUCUGCUGGCUAAUAAAACCAAGAUAGUCAAUUAUCAUGAGAAUUAGAAAU
This 113-nucleotide transfer RNA is filed under the name Cryptococcus neoformans x Cryptococcus deneoformans. RNAcentral describes it as "Cryptococcus neoformans AD hybrid tRNA-Met". The stretch from base 1 to 73 matches the Rfam family "tRNA". From Rfam's summary of the family: Transfer RNA (tRNA) molecules are approximately 80 nucleotides in length. The record is from RNAcentral. Lineage: Eukaryota; Fungi; Basidiomycota; Tremellomycetes; Tremellales; Cryptococcaceae.